GGUUAAGCGACUAAGCGUACACGGUGGAUGCCCUGGCAGUCAGAGGCGAUGAAGGACGUGCUAAUCUGCGAUAAGCGUCGGUAAGGUGAUAUGAACCGUUAUAACCGGCGAUUUCCGAAUGGGGAAACCCAGUGUGAUUCGUCACACUAUCAUUAACUGAAUCCAUAGGUUAAUGAGGCGAACCGGGGGAACUGAAACAUCUAAGUACCCCGAGGAAAAGAAAUCAACCGAGAUUCCCCCAGUAGCGGCGAGCGAACGGGGAGCAGCCCAGAGCCUGAAUCAGUGUGUGUGUUAGUGGAAGCGUCUGGAAAGGCGCGCGAUACAGGGUGACAGCCCCGUACACAAAAAUGCACAUCUGUGAGCUCGAUGAGUAGGGCGGGACACGUGGUAUCCUGUCUGAAUAUGGGGGGACCAUCCUCCAAGGCUAAAUACUCCUGACUGACCGAUAGUGAACCAGUACCGUGAGGGAAAGGCGAAAAGAACCCCGGCGAGGGGAGUGAAAAAGAACCUGAAACCGUGUACGUACAAGCAGUGGGAGCACGCUUAGGCGUGUGACUGCGUACCUUUUGUAUAAUGGGUCAGCGACUUAUAUUCUGUAGCAAGGUUAACCGAAUAGGGGAGCCGAAGGGAAACCGAGUCUUAACUGGGCGUUAAGUUGCAGGGUAUAGACCCGAAACCCGGUGAUCUAGCCAUGGGCAGGUUGAAGGUUGGGUAACACUAACUGGAGGACCGAACCGACUAAUGUUGAAAAAUUAGCGGAUGACUUGUGGCUGGGGGUGAAAGGCCAAUCAAACCGGGAGAUAGCUGGUUCUCCCCGAAAGCUAUUUAGGUAGCGCCUCGUGAAUUCAUCUCCGGGGGUAGAGCACUGUUUCGGCAAGGGGGUCAUCCCGACUUACCAACCCGAUGCAAACUGCGAAUACCGGAGAAUGUUAUCACGGGAGACACACGGCGGGUGCUAACGUCCGUCGUGAAGAGGGAAACAACCCAGACCGCCAGCUAAGGUCCCAAAGUCAUGGUUAAGUGGGAAACGAUGUGGGAAGGCCCAGACAGCCAGGAUGUUGGCUUAGAAGCAGCCAUCAUUUAAAGAAAGCGUAAUAGCUCACUGGUCGAGUCGGCCUGCGCGGAAGAUGUAACGGGGCUAAACCAUGCACCGAAGCUGCGGCAGCGACGCUUAUGCGUUGUUGGGUAGGGGAGCGUUCUGUAAGCCUGCGAAGGUGUGCUGUGAGGCAUGCUGGAGGUAUCAGAAGUGCGAAUGCUGACAUAAGUAACGAUAAAGCGGGUGAAAAGCCCGCUCGCCGGAAGACCAAGGGUUCCUGUCCAACGUUAAUCGGGGCAGGGUGAGUCGACCCCUAAGGCGAGGCCGAAAGGCGUAGUCGAUGGGAAACAGGUUAAUAUUCCUGUACUUGGUGUUACUGCGAAGGGGGGACGGAGAAGGCUAUGUUGGCCGGGCGACGGUUGUCCCGGUUUAAGCGUGUAGGCUGGUUUUCCAGGCAAAUCCGGAAAAUCAAGGCUGAGGCGUGAUGACGAGGCACUACGGUGCUGAAGCAACAAAUGCCCUGCUUCCAGGAAAAGCCUCUAAGCAUCAGGUAACAUCAAAUCGUACCCCAAACCGACACAGGUGGUCAGGUAGAGAAUACCAAGGCGCUUGAGAGAACUCGGGUGAAGGAACUAGGCAAAAUGGUGCCGUAACUUCGGGAGAAGGCACGCUGAUAUGUAGGUGAAGUCCCUCGCGGAUGGAGCUGAAAUCAGUCGAAGAUACCAGCUGGCUGCAACUGUUUAUUAAAAACACAGCACUGUGCAAACACGAAAGUGGACGUAUACGGUGUGACGCCUGCCCGGUGCCGGAAGGUUAAUUGAUGGGGUUAGCGCAAGCGAAGCUCUUGAUCGAAGCCCCGGUAAACGGCGGCCGUAACUAUAACGGUCCUAAGGUAGCGAAAUUCCUUGUCGGGUAAGUUCCGACCUGCACGAAUGGCGUAAUGAUGGCCAGGCUGUCUCCACCCGAGACUCAGUGAAAUUGAACUCGCUGUGAAGAUGCAGUGUACCCGCGGCAAGACGGAAAGACCCCGUGAACCUUUACUAUAGCUUGACACUGAACAUUGAGCCUUGAUGUGUAGGAUAGGUGGGAGGCUUUGAAGUGUGGACGCCAGUCUGCAUGGAGCCGACCUUGAAAUACCACCCUUUAAUGUUUGAUGUUCUAACGUGGACCCGUAAUCCGGGUUGCGGACAGUGUCUGGUGGGUAGUUUGACUGGGGCGGUCUCCUCCUAAAGAGUAACGGAGGAGCACGAAGGUUGGCUAAUCCUGGUCGGACAUCAGGAGGUUAGUGCAAUGGCAUAAGCCAGCUUGACUGCGAGCGUGACGGCGCGAGCAGGUGCGAAAGCAGGUCAUAGUGAUCCGGUGGUUCUGAAUGGAAGGGCCAUCGCUCAACGGAUAAAAGGUACUCCGGGGAUAACAGGCUGAUACCGCCCAAGAGUUCAUAUCGACGGCGGUGUUUGGCACCUCGAUGUCGGCUCAUCACAUCCUGGGGCUGAAGUAGGUCCCAAGGGUAUGGCUGUUCGCCAUUUAAAGUGGUACGCGAGCUGGGUUUAGAACGUCGUGAGACAGUUCGGUCCCUAUCUGCCGUGGGCGCUGGAGAACUGAGGGGGGCUGCUCCUAGUACGAGAGGACCGGAGUGGACGCAUCACUGGUGUUCGGGUUGUCAUGCCAAUGGCACUGCCCGGUAGCUAAAUGCGGAAGAGAUAAGUGCUGAAAGCAUCUAAGCACGAAACUUGCCCCGAGAUGAGUUCUCCCUGACUCCUUGAGAGUCCUGAAGGAACGUUGAAGACGACGACGUUGAUAGGCCGGGUGUGUAAGCGCAGCGAUGCGUUGAGCUAACCGGUACUAAUGAACCGUGAGGCUUAACCUUAC
RNAcentral lists this ribosomal RNA (2905 nucleotides) under Escherichia coli P4-NR. Its description in RNAcentral is "bacterial LSU rRNA". It matches the Rfam family "Bacterial large subunit ribosomal RNA". Lineage: Bacteria; Pseudomonadati; Pseudomonadota; Gammaproteobacteria; Enterobacterales; Enterobacteriaceae. The record is from RNAcentral.